Stomoxys calcitrans (stable fly) is the source of this 892-nucleotide long non-coding RNA. RefSeq lists it as uncharacterized. The transcript has 2 exons. The record is from RefSeq and is a predicted model, not a curated record. NCBI's taxonomy places the organism in Eukaryota, Metazoa, Arthropoda, Insecta, Diptera, Muscidae.
AUUCCAAAAUCAUAAACAAUUAUAAAGGGGGAAAAUGUUUUCAGUAAAAUUAAACAAAUUUUCAAUUGAAGCUAAUGCUUUAAAUCUGACAAGAGAAAUGGCUUUGGCUUGGCUUUGUGAGUGUAAUACAUAAAAGUAAACUAAAGUAAUUUACAUAAUAUACAAAUAGGUAAAAGUAAUAUUUUGUGGCAAAUUUGUUCGGAAAACCUCCCAAUGCAAAUUACACAUGAGCAGCAGAAAAUUUUUAAUAGUUUCAAAUCAUCCACAGGACAUUUGGCAAAAAGGACAAACGCAUACACAUGCGUUGUAAAUACGAAAAACACAUUCAAAACUAAUGCUACUAAAGGAUAUUUAUUUACAAACUCAUUCACACAUUAGGAGACACAUGCAUACGUAUGGCUGUAUGUCUGUCUGUCUGUGUGUUUAUGCAUAUAAAUGCACAUAUGGGCACAAGUGUUGGUCUUAUGUAUGUGUGCGUCUGUGUGUAUGUGUAUUGGCAAGUGUUUGAUAUUAUCAUAAACAAAUGCAAUAAAUUUGUAAAAUGUGCAAUUAUUUUCCAAAACAUAACAGUGCCCCAGAGAGUGAUGAUACCACACAACCGAGUGCCAUAAACAAAUGCUGCUGUUGAUCAUGAUGCUGCUUUGCAAAGAUGAUGAUGAUAAUGAUGAUGCUAUAAAUAUACAACAACAAUGACCAAAGGAUUUUUUGCCAUUGUAUUUAUUGUUUAAAACAUAAACUUCCUUUAGAAUUAUGCAUUCGUAUUACGCAUGUGAGCAAUGGAAAUUGUGUUGAUAUCCUUUGUUAUUGCAACAGAGUUCUUUGCCCGGCUCCCACAAAUUCAGUGUUUUGUAUUCUCAAACCUUUAAAAAAAUAUAAACGAUAUUGAAGGCUA